CAACCUCUGCGGUGUUUGUGCUGAGCGAGGCUUGCAAGGCUCAACCGACAACCACACGGAGGGGGCCAGCGGAACUGCCCGUGGAAAACCAGCCUCUCCCGAGGACGUUUGAAGCGGGCAUCUGACUCCCACUUUGAUGUAGGGUUGACGCUCCCUCGCUCCACGGCACAAGCGGAGGUUGU
RNAcentral lists this non-coding RNA (182 nucleotides) under Planctomycetota bacterium. RNAcentral's name for it is "Planctomycetes bacterium (sediment metagenome) 6S RNA". It matches the Rfam family "6S / SsrS RNA". From Rfam's summary of the family: E. coli 6S RNA was the first non coding RNA to be sequenced, but its function was unknown until recently. It consists of 184 nucleotides that fold into an extended hairpin structure with a large single-stranded internal bulge. Lineage: Bacteria; Pseudomonadati; Planctomycetota. The record is from RNAcentral.